AUGCUCCGCCUCCGGGGCUGCAUCCUCCCCCGCCUCCUCUCACCUCCCGCCACCCCCCUCCACCGCCUCCUCUCCGCGGCCGUUUCUCCGAGCCCUCCUAGCUUUGCCGUGGAGGAGUACCUCGUCGCCACCUGUGGCCUCACCCCAGCGCAGGCCCGCAAGGCCUCCCCCAAGCUCUCCCACCUCAAGUCCCCAGCCAACCCCGACGCCGUCCUCGCCUUCCUCGCCGGCCUUGGCCUCUCCGGCGCCGACCUCGCCACCGCCAUCCGCAAGGAUCCCAGGUUGCUCUGCGCGGGCGUGGAGACAACCCUGGCCCCCAAUGUCGCGGAGCUCACCGGCCUGGGUCUCUCGCGUUCUGAGAUCGCGCGCCUCGUCUCGAUCACCGGCACCAGUUUCCGCUGCAAAUCCAUCGUCUCUGGACUGCACUACUGCUUGCCCCUCUUCGGCUCCUCAGAGAACCUCCUUCGGGCCCUAAAGAGUGGCUCCAUUCUCUCGUCCGACCUCGAGCGAGUGGUCAAGCCCAAUGUCGCCUUCCUGCGGGAGUGUGGCCUGGCUACUUGUGAUAUUGCCAGGCUCUGCAUACCUAUGCCAUCGCUGCUCAGCAUCAGCACGGAACGCAUCCAGACAGCAGUGGCGUGCGUCGAAGGUCUUGGUGUACCCCGUGGAUCUCCAAUGUUCAGACAUGCACUACAAGCUGUUGCAUUCCUCAGCCAGGAGAAAAUCACCGCCAAAGUGGAGCACUUGAAGAAAGCGUUCAGGUGGUCGGAUGCCGAGGUGGGUAUUGCCGUUUCUAAGGCUCCAACGUUGCUGACGAGGACCAAGGAGUCGCUGCAGCGCAGGUCUGAGUUCCUCAUCUAUGAGGUGUGGUUGGAACCGGCAUAUAUUGCUUAUCGUCCGGCAAUGCUCACUUACAGCUUGGAGGGCCGGCUCAGGCCCCGGUACUACGUCGUCAGAUUUCUCAAGGAAAAUGGAUUGCUAGAUCACGACCGGGACUACUAUGCUGCAGUCAUGAUCAGCGAGAAGGUAUUCGUCCAGAAGUUUAUAUGCCCUCAUAAGGAUGCUGCACCGCAUCUCGCUCAAGAUUAUGCAACAGCUUGCAGAGGGGAGGUUCCAGCUAGAUUCAGUUUUACAUGA
This 1134-nucleotide ribosomal RNA is filed under the name Triticum aestivum (bread wheat). Its description in RNAcentral is "partial small subunit ribosomal RNA". The record is from RNAcentral. Lineage: Eukaryota; Viridiplantae; Streptophyta; Magnoliopsida; Poales; Poaceae.